This 73-nucleotide transfer RNA is filed under the name Apaloderma vittatum (bar-tailed trogon). It matches the Rfam family "tRNA". Rfam says of the family: Transfer RNA (tRNA) molecules are approximately 80 nucleotides in length. Their secondary structure includes four short double-helical elements and three loops (D, anti-codon, and T loops). The record is from Rfam by way of RNAcentral. Lineage: Eukaryota; Metazoa; Chordata; Aves; Trogoniformes; Trogonidae.
GGCCAGUUAGCUCAGUUGGUUGGAGUGCGGUGCUGACAACACCAAGGUCGUGGAUUCAAUCCCCGUUUGGUCC